RNAcentral lists this ribosomal RNA (301 nucleotides) under uncultured bacterium. Its description in RNAcentral is "partial 16S ribosomal RNA". It matches the Rfam family "Bacterial small subunit ribosomal RNA", at positions 509 to 807 of the family's 1533-position model. The record is from RNAcentral.
CAGUCGCCGCGGUAAUACGGAGGGUGCAAGCGUUAAUCGGAAUUACUGGGCGUAAAGCGCACGCAGGCGGUCUGACAAGUCAGAUGUGAAAUCCCCGGGCUUAACCUGGGAACUGCAUUUGAAACUGUCAGGCUGGAGUCUUGUAGAGGGGGGUAGAAUUCCAGGUGUAGCGGUGAAAUGCGUAGAGAUCUGGAGGAAUACCGGUGGCGAAGGCGGCCCCCUGGACAAAGACUGACGCUCAGGUGCGAAAGCGUGGGGAGCAAACAGGAUUAGAUACCCCGGUAGUCCCUGUCUCUUAUAC